UACGAAGGGGGCUAGCGUUGCUCGGAAUCACUGGGCGUAAAGCGCACGUAGGCGGACUCUUAAGUCAGGGGUGAAAUCCUGGAGCUCAACUCCAGAACUGCCUUUGAUACUGGGAGUCUUGAGUUCGGGAGAGGUGAGUGGAACUGCGAGUGUAGAGGUGAAAUUCGUAGAUAUUCGCAAGAACACCAGUGGCGAAGGCGGCUCACUGGCCCGAUACUGACGCUGAGGCGCGAAAGCCAGGGGAGCAAAGCGGG
RNAcentral lists this ribosomal RNA (254 nucleotides) under uncultured bacterium. RNAcentral describes it as "partial 16S ribosomal RNA". It matches the Rfam family "Bacterial small subunit ribosomal RNA", at positions 524 to 777 of the family's 1533-position model. The record is from RNAcentral.